GCCUGGGUGGCUCAGCGGUUGAGCCUCUGCCUUUGGCUCAGGGCGUGAUCCUGGAGUCCUGGGAUCGAGUCCCACCUCAGGCU
RNAcentral lists this transfer RNA (83 nucleotides) under Canis lupus familiaris (dog). It matches the Rfam family "tRNA". From Rfam's summary of the family: Transfer RNA (tRNA) molecules are approximately 80 nucleotides in length. Their secondary structure includes four short double-helical elements and three loops (D, anti-codon, and T loops). The record is from Rfam by way of RNAcentral. RNAcentral also lists the same sequence under 2 other names. Lineage: Eukaryota; Metazoa; Chordata; Mammalia; Carnivora; Canidae.